RNAcentral lists this ribosomal RNA (369 nucleotides) under uncultured Streptococcus sp. Its description in RNAcentral is "bacterial SSU rRNA". It matches the Rfam family "Bacterial small subunit ribosomal RNA", at positions 1018 to 1382 of the family's 1533-position model. Lineage: Bacteria; Bacillati; Bacillota; Bacilli; Lactobacillales; Streptococcaceae. The record is from RNAcentral.
UUCGGUACAGUCGGUGACAGGUGGUGCAUUGGUUGUCGUCAGCUCGUGUCGUGAGAUGUUGGGGUUUAAGUCCCCGCAACGAGCGCAACCCCUAUUGUUAGUUGCCAUCAUUCAGUUGGGCACUCUAGCGAGACUGCCGGUAAUAAACCGGAGGGAAGGUGGGGAGUGACGUCAAAUCAUCAUGCCCCUUAUGACCUGGGCUACACACGUGCUACAAUGGUUGGUACAACGAGUUGCGAGUCGGUGACGGCGAGCUAAUCUCUUAAAGCCAAUCUCAGUUCGGAUUGUAGGCUGCAACUCGCCUACAUGAAGUCGGAAUCGCUAGUAAUCGCGGAUCAGCACGCCGCGGUGAAUACGUUCCCGGGCCUU